Gadus morhua (Atlantic cod) is the source of this 654-nucleotide long non-coding RNA. RefSeq lists it as uncharacterized. The transcript is spliced from 4 exons. The record is from RefSeq and is a predicted model, not a curated record. NCBI's taxonomy places the organism in Eukaryota, Metazoa, Chordata, Actinopteri, Gadiformes, Gadidae.
CCCGGCGGGCCCCCCCUGGCCCCGGCAGGGGUCCCGGGGUAGUCGCUGCCGCUGGCCAGGUCCAGGCAGCAGCUGCAGCAGUCCAGGCCGACCGGGGAGCGGCAGGCAUCCUCGGACAUCACCUCCAGGAGCACAGUCUAGCGCGCCUGGAGACAGAGGGAGGAGCCUGGAGACAGAGGGAGGAGACAGAGGGAGGCACCUGGAGACAGAGGGAGGAGCCCCACUGGGACCGAGGGGAGGAGCCCCGCUGGGACCGAGGGGAGGAGCCCCGCUGGGACCGAGGGGAGAUCCACCAUCUGGCUGGACUGUGAUCCCCCCAAGAGGUUAAGCAAUCUUAACUCGGCCCUUGGAGCUCCUGGGCCAUCUCUGCCAGAUCGUCUCUUGUUACUCACAGAGCUUUCCCGCAACUCCUGAACUGUUUCUACAACGCUGAUCCUGCCUGUUUCCGAACCCUCGUCUGUCUGACCACCCGCCUGUUGUCGAGUCCCUGCCGGCCUGUCUGCUUCCCUGUUUCCUGCUCCUCGGCUGCCUGUCUGCCCUCCCUUGCUGACCCCUCGCCUGCUGACCCCCCGAUGAUUCCCUGCCCACCUGUCGGUGACUUACUGUCUGCUCUCUGCCUGCCCGAUCCUGUACCGGAUUAAAUCCUUGAAACUG